AAGGAAAGAAUUUGGACUAGAUAUUAGUAGUAUAUUUUUAAUCCCAAGAAUGUCAUGGUCUUAUAUGGAUACUUAGACUUAAGUGUUUCACGAAUUUAAGAUGAGUCUUGUAAGUUAAAAGUUCAGUCUUGAAUCAUGUAAUGGAGCAAUUAUCUC
Perognathus longimembris pacificus (Pacific pocket mouse) is the source of this 156-nucleotide long non-coding RNA. RefSeq lists it as uncharacterized. The record is from RefSeq and is a predicted model, not a curated record. NCBI's taxonomy places the organism in Eukaryota, Metazoa, Chordata, Mammalia, Rodentia, Heteromyidae. The transcript is spliced from 2 exons.